RNAcentral lists this small RNA (32 nucleotides) under Arabidopsis thaliana (thale cress). Its description in RNAcentral is "ATSL027610". Lineage: Eukaryota; Viridiplantae; Streptophyta; Magnoliopsida; Brassicales; Brassicaceae. The record is from RNAcentral.
UUCUUUAUCUUCUUCUUCUUCAUCUUCUUAGA